GGGCCCAUAGUUCAGUUGGGAGAACGUUUGACUGGCAGUCAAAAGGUCGAGAGUUCGAGCCUCUCUGGGUCCACCA
Molecule: transfer RNA, 76 nt
Filed under: Dehalococcoidales bacterium
Lineage: Bacteria; Bacillati; Chloroflexota; Dehalococcoidia; Dehalococcoidales
Also listed under: 2 other names
Description: tRNA-Ala
Rfam family: tRNA
About the family: Transfer RNA (tRNA) molecules are approximately 80 nucleotides in length.
Source: RNAcentral